GACGAACGCUGGCGGCGUGCUUAACACAUGCAAGUCGAACGGUAAGGCUCCAGCUUGCUGGGGUACACGAGUGGCGAACGGGUGAGUAACACGUGGGUGACCUGCCCUGCACUUCGGGAUAAGCCUGGGAAACUGGGUCUAAUACCGGAUAGGACCGCACCGUGAGGGUGUGGUGGAAAGUUUUUUCGGUGUGGGAUGGGCCCGCGGCCUAUCAGCUUGUUGGUGGGGUAAUGGCCUACCAAGGCGGCGACGGGUAGCCGGCCUGAGAGGGUGGACGGCCACAUUGGGACUGCGACACGGCCCAGACUCCUACGGGAGGCAGCAGUGGGGAAUAUUGCACAAUGGGCGGAAGCCUGAUGCAGCGACGCCGCGUGGGGGAUGACGGCCUUCGGGUUGUAAACUCCUUUCACCAUCGACGAAGGGUUUCUGACGGUAGAUGGAGAAGAAGCACCGGCUAACUACGUG
Molecule: ribosomal RNA, 465 nt
Filed under: uncultured bacterium
Lineage: Bacteria
Description: partial 16S ribosomal RNA
Rfam family: Bacterial small subunit ribosomal RNA
Source: RNAcentral